CAAGGAACUAAGAGUUUAUGGGGGAUACCUUGGCAUUCAGAAGCGAUGAAGGACGUGGUUACCGACGAUACGCUUCGGGGAGCUGGAAACAAGCUAUGAUCCGGAGGUCUCCGAAUGAGGCAACUUUUUAACUACUUAUUGAAUUCAUAGAUAAGAAAGAGCGAACCUAGAGAAUUGAAACAUCUUAGUACCUAGAGGAAAAGAAAGUAAAAACGAUUCCCUGAGUAGCGGCGAGCGAAACGGGAUUAGCCUAAACUUAAUUAUAAAUUAAGGGUAGUGGGACAAUAAUAAAGAAUUUAAUGGAACGAUUAGAGGAAUAAGUUUGGAAUACUUAACCAUAGAGAGUGAUAGUCUCGUAAACGAAAUAAAUAUUAUACCUAACAGUAUCCUGAGUAGCACGAAACACGUGAAAUUUUGUGUGAACCAGCCGGAACCAUCCGGUAAGGCUAAAUACUCCUCAAAUACCGAUAGCGAACGAGUACUGUGAAGGAAAGGUGAAAAGAACCGUGAAUAACGGAGUGAAA
RNAcentral lists this ribosomal RNA (524 nucleotides) under Thalassiosira antarctica. Its description in RNAcentral is "partial Bacterial large subunit ribosomal RNA". It matches the Rfam family "Bacterial large subunit ribosomal RNA", at positions 1 to 543 of the family's 2925-position model. Lineage: Eukaryota; Bacillariophyta; Thalassiosirophyceae; Thalassiosirales; Thalassiosiraceae. The record is from RNAcentral.